GCCAGGAGAGGCAACAGUAGGUAUACCUCAGAGUCAAGAAGAUCCAAGUUCAAGUCCCACCUCUAACUCCCCCUGGCUGUUGCAUCCCAAGCAGAUAAGUCAUUUGACAUCCUGGCACCUCAGAGAUGAAGUGUCCCAAGACUGGAUAGCUAAUAUGGAGUUGGGCCAGGACUUUGGACACCAAUUCAGAAGAGGAGCCUUCUUAAAUGCCUACAGCCCUGGCCCCUACACCUCCAUUCAUCACAAUUACUGCUCCAACUGUCGGAGGCAGGGCAUGAAGCGCCAUUUGCUGACGUCCAAUAUUUUAUCACUAAUAAAGAGAAACAUUCCAAGUAUUUUCACAGUUCUGAUACUUUCCAGCACUGGGCCCAGGAGGAAUGAGAAAGUUGUGAUUUAUGCUAUCUGCUGGCAAUUGUUAAUUAGCCGUUCUGGGCUUGGGACCUUGGGGACUAAGGUUUUUCCUAGCCUGGAGCUCAGACCAAGGUCUGCUGAGACUUAGAAUGUUGUGGAAGUUUGCCUUGAGGGUUUCAUCUGGGCACACCAUAGGCAUUUAAUAAAUGUUGGGUGAGUGAUAGCUGGUGCA
This 583-nucleotide long non-coding RNA is filed under the name Monodelphis domestica (gray short-tailed opossum). RNAcentral describes it as "lncRNA (ENSMODG00000049440.1)". The record is from RNAcentral. Lineage: Eukaryota; Metazoa; Chordata; Mammalia; Didelphimorphia; Didelphidae.